This 649-nucleotide ribosomal RNA is filed under the name uncultured bacterium. RNAcentral's name for it is "bacterial SSU rRNA". It matches the Rfam family "Bacterial small subunit ribosomal RNA", at positions 64 to 709 of the family's 1533-position model. The record is from RNAcentral.
AAACGAUCGGGAGCUUGCUCUUGGGUGACGAGCGGCGGACGGGUGAGUAAUGUCUGGGAAACUGCCUGAUGGAGGGGGAUAACUACUGGAAACGGUAGCUAAUACCGCAUAACGUCGCAAGACCAAAGAGGGGGACCUUCGGGCCUCUUGCCAUCAGAUGUGCCCAGAUGGGAUUAGCUAGUAGGUGGGGUAAUGGCUCACCUAGGCGACGAUCCCUAGCUGGUCUGAGAGGAUGACCAGCCACACUGGAACUGAGACACGGUCCAGACUCCUACGGGAGGCAGCAGUGGGGAAUAUUGCACAAUGGGCGCAAGCCUGAUGCAGCCAUGCCGCGUGUGUGAAGAAGGCCUUCGGGUUGUAAAGCACUUUCAGCGAGGAGGAAGGUGGUGAACUUAAUACGUUCAUCAAUUGACGUUACUCGCAGAAGAAGCACCGGCUAACUCCGUGCCAGCAGCCGCGGUAAUACGGAGGGUGCAAGCGUUAAUCGGAAUUACUGGGCGUAAAGCGCACGCAGGCGGUUUGUUAAGUCAGAUGUGAAAUCCCCGGGCUCAACCUGGGAACUGCAUUUGAAACUGGCAAGCUAGAGUCUCGUAGAGGGGGGUAGAAUUCCAGGUGUAGCGGUGAAAUGCGUAGAGAUCUGGAGGAAUAC